This 1329-nucleotide ribosomal RNA is filed under the name Apilactobacillus kunkeei. RNAcentral describes it as "bacterial SSU rRNA". It matches the Rfam family "Bacterial small subunit ribosomal RNA", at positions 100 to 1416 of the family's 1533-position model. The record is from RNAcentral. Lineage: Bacteria; Bacillati; Bacillota; Bacilli; Lactobacillales; Lactobacillaceae.
GAACUGGUGAGUAACACGUGGGUAACCUGCCCCGAAGCGGGGGAUAACAUUUGGAAACAAGUGCUAAUACCGCAUAAUUAGUUGGAACCGCAUGGUUCCAACUUGAAAGAUGGCUCUGCUAUCACUUUGGGAUGGACCCGCGCCGUAUUAGUUAGUUGGUGAGAUAAAAGCCCACCAAGACGAUGAUACGUAGCCGACCUGAGAGGGUAAUCGGCCACAUUGGGACUGAGACACGGCCCAGACUCCUACGGGAGGCAGCAGUAGGGAAUCUUCCACAAUGGACGAAAGUCUGAUGGAGCAACGCCGCGUGAGUGAUGAAGGUUUUCGGAUCGUAAAACUCUGUUGUUAAAGAAGAACAAGUGUUAGAGUAACUGUUAACACUUUGACGGUAUUUAACCAGAAAGCCACGGCUAACUACGUGCCAGCAGCCGCGGUAAUACGUAGGUGGCAAGCGUUGUCCGGAUUUAUUGGGCGUAAAGCGAGCGCAGGCGGUUUUGUAAGUCUGCUGUGAAAGCCCUCAGCUCAACUGAGGAAGUGCAGUGGAAACUACAAAACUUGAGUACAGAAGAGGAAAGUGGAACUCCAUGUGUAGCGGUGAAAUGCGUAGAUAUAUGGAAGAACACCAGUGGCGAAGGCGGCUUUCUGGUCUGUUACUGACGCUGAGGCUCGAAAGCAUGGGUAGCGAACAGGAUUAGAUACCCUGGUAGUCCAUGCCGUAAACGAUGAAUACUAGGUGUUGGAGGGUUUCCGCCCUUCAGUGCCGCAGCUAACGCAUUAAGUAUUCCGCCUGGGGAGUACGACCGCAAGGUUGAAACUCAAAGGAAUUGACGGGGGCCCGCACAAGUGGUGGAGCAUGUGGUUUAAUUCGAUGCUACGCGAAGAACCUUACCAGCUCUUGACAUCUUCUGCCAACCCAAGAGAUUGGGCGUUCCCUUCGGGGACAGAAUGACAGGUGGUGCAUGGUUGUCGUCAGCUCGUGUCGUGAGAUGUUGGGUUAAGUCCCGCAACGAGCGCAACCCUUAUUAUUAGUUGCCAGCAUUUAGUUGGGCACUCUAGUGAGACUGCCGGUGAUAAACCGGAGGAAGGUGGGGACGACGUCAAAUCAUCAUGCCCCUUAUGAGCUGGGCUACACACGUGCUACAAUGGAUGGUACAACGAGUCGCGAAACCGCGAGGUCAAGCUAAUCUCUUAAAGCCAUUCUCAGUUCGGAUUGCAGGCUGCAACUCGCCUGCAUGAAGUUGGAAUCACUAGUAAUCGUGGAUCAGCAUGCCACGGUGAAUACGUUCCCGGGCCUUGUACACACCGCCCGUCACACCAUGAGAGUUUGUA